Molecule: non-coding RNA, 3912 nt
Organism: Cricetulus griseus (Chinese hamster)
Lineage: Eukaryota; Metazoa; Chordata; Mammalia; Rodentia; Cricetidae
Source: RefSeq, a predicted model, not a curated record
GUCCAGCUCAUGGGAUGCUGCUGCUUACAUUCAAGCUGAGUCUUCCCUCCUGAGUUAAAGUUUUCUAGAAACUUUGUGGAUAUACCUAGAGGUAAGUUACUCCCACCAGGUUUUGUUCUUACCUGGACAUCAGACAAGGUUGGAUUCAUAAGGUUUCUGGUUUACCCCAACUCAUGCAUUUGGGAGCAAGAAGAAGCUGUUGAAGGAUAUCAAGCAAGAAGGCGAGUUGUAUGGAAUGGUGACACUUGUGCUUUGUAAUGAUGGUAUGGCAGGAAUUGGAGAGAGAGAAGAGCAGGUUCUGCUCAAAGAGUUGGCUGAGGGUAGGGUGGCAUGGGUGCUGGGGGGGUGUGCUCCUGUCCAAAGUCACUCAAGAGACAAAGAUUAAGGGAGUGGUGGCAGAGAUGAAAAAAAAAGUCGCCUUUACAAAGUAAGGUCUCUACAAUUUGGGGAAAGAUCCAGCUUUUGCAAGUGAGAUGCUAAAAUGUCUCCUUUAUCUUUAGGAUAUUCAGUCUGAUAAAUGACUAGUGAUAUUUGCCAAAGCAGGAAACACUAGUGUUCUAAAAAGAGUUGAAAUCACGGAUAAACAUAAGAUCAAGCAGAAUUAAAAUAAGGAGAAUUAUAUUUUGUGGCCCACCAAACUAGGCGCUAACAAUUCUGUAUGCUGUGGCCUCCAGUCUUCUCUUGCCACUUUAACUUCUGCUGGUCCCAAGGUGUGUUUUCCCCUUAAAAAUAAAUUUGGUAUGUAAGGCAGUAGCUGAAUACAGUUUACACUGAACUUUUGCUUAUAUCUGUUCUUAGUUGGAUUUAAUAGCCAUCGCUUAAGAUCAUGGCUCUGCUGCUCCAUUCACAAGGCCAUUGGUGCUUUCAAAGGAUAUUGAUACUGGGAAUAAUGAUAAUGGCACUGAACUUGUUCCGUUGACUCCUAGGGAGUAUGUGGGAGGUGCCAGUUUACACAAACUAUUUGUCCAGUUUUGGGCUCAUUAAAAUAGUUUUACAAAGAAUUGCUUUUUGCCUUUAUUGAUAAGAGAAGACAAUGGGGCAAUUUGAAAUGAAUGCUGUUUGUUUGGUUUGGUUUUUCAUAACAGGAUUCUCUAUGUAGCCCAAGCUGCCGUGGAAAUCACUCUAUAGACUAAACUGUCCUUGAACUCAGAGAUCACCUGCUGCCUCUAGAGUGCUGGGAUUAAAGGUUUGCACUACCACCACCCAGCUAAAGUGAAUGUUUUUAAACAAUGUGACUAACUUUAACCAUGGCUGACAUCUUUUUCCAUACUAUGACAAUUCAAAAAAAUGCUACAGCUCCAUCUGAACACAUACAUAUUUGAAUAUUUAAAACAAAAUUUAUUUGAGGUUUUUCAGGCUAUUGUCCUACUUGAUGACCUUAGUGUAACCCAGUAAAAGUGGAUGGAUGUACAUUUAAUAUCCUAAUUUUAUCUUGAUAUUUCAGCAACUAUUUGAAUUAUCUGGCUAUCUUUGCAUGAAUUUUCAUUUGCAUAUGAAUGUUUCCAUCAGAAAUGUAAUCAAAUGCAAAUUCAAUUGGAUUUGCAUUAAUAGUCUUUGGGCUUAAAAGGGAGAAAAAUUCUGAUAUUUCUGGAUAGGCAAACUAAACUACAUCUAGAUACACUUCUGGUGUUUGGAGAGGGAAUUUGAUUUGUCGUGCUAGAUUUCUAUAUGAUGUGAGGUGGGUACAAAAGGACUUCAAAUCACAUGCUCUCUUUAAGGAUCAUGUUGGUCAUCUACAGAUCCUGAACACUGAGUAUAUCGACAAGAAAUUAGUAGUUUUUCAAGAAACAUUUACAGAAUUAAUAUGGAAAAUAAUGUGCCUUGAACAUUAUUCUUGGCACUAAAAACAAAACAAAACAUUAAACAAGAUACCUACUAGUUGAGCUAAGAACUUGGAGCUUUGCUCAACUUUAGGUAAUGCAGCAAAGUAUUUCAUGGUAUUCAUAAAUGCUUGCAGGAUUUAGACAGAGCUUCAGUGAAUACCCAAAAGGGUUUUAUGACGAAAUGUCAUUUAAUCCUUGAAGUCUACUGACUUCAUUAGGACUUUCUCUCAUUUGUAUGAGGUGGGUCUGCUACUGAUCAUUCAUCAUCUAACUUAAAUGAGCCAGCAUAUCCACCAUGAAAAGCAGUGGUUUUUAUUACAGUUUUCCUUAGCCUAGACACAACUUUUCAUUUCCACGUGACCAAGCCUUACAGUACCCAAGUAGCUGCUGUUACAGUGUCAUCCUGCUUGUAGUCUACAGAUAAGUUGCUUAUCUGUACUUGAACCCUAAUCAUUGAUUUGUCCAGAAGAGGCCAACAGAUAAAAUUAAAGGGAUACCUUCCUCAUGAUUUUAGGACUUCGUUCCAAAGUGAACAUCAAGGCUCCCCUCUGCCAAGUAACUACAGCUAUGAGAUGCAGAAUGAAGGAGCUGAUGUCUUCCAUUCAGAAAAGGAAGAUUUAUGGGAGUGAAGUGAGAGGGAAAGUGAGAAGAUGGAGCAUUCUGCAGCUCCACACCCAGCUGCUUGUUCUGAGGCCAUGCUACAUCUUCUAGUGACUGUACUGUCACCUCACCUUACAUUAUGUCACCCCAGAACCUUUUUUUCUACUUUAAAGUGUGUAGCAUUCCAGUCUCUGCAAACCAAAACCACACUCCCACAGUACUGGAGCAAGUGACUUGGAGCAUUUUGCUUACUCCAGUUGGCAAGGAUGCAAUUUGGAUUGUAUUUGGAAGUUUGUAUUUUUGUUUUUACAAAGAUUUUAUAACACUGCGUAGAGGAUACAGGAAUGAGGUUGAGAACUUGCUACGAAGUUACAGAAUUCCCCCUGGUAUUUUUCUAGUAUAAAAUCAACCUAAUUUUUUGUUCUUUCCAUAAUCCUCCUCACUCCCUGGCCACCUUGGAAGGACUGCCAAAGCACACUGACAGAGGAUAUUUGCAUGGUAUUUAUCAUCAAACCAUAACAAAAAAUUCACAAGAAAGCUCAAGUAAUUUCUUCCCACAUCUUCUCCCGGGAUUUUGCAUUUAGUCCUAAAAUUUACCCUAAUGUCGUGCAAAUAUCUCAACCUUCCCUAAGGUUAGUUAAACUUUUCUCCAUCCAAAAAGAGAAUGUUAAUUAAAAAUGUUUCCUUGUGGCUAUAUGUAUUUUAAUAUUGGUAGAUAAAUUUCUAGAUCCCUUCAAGCCAGCAAAGCCUUCUCUUUUAAAUAUGUUACUCACUCUUACUAGUCAUGGUUAUUAAUGAUACUUUCAUAAACACCUUUAUGACUGUCUUGGGAAAAUAUUGAUUUUUAAGGUAGAUAAUGUUGAUCUAAACUGACUUUUAAAAUGAUUGCCUAGAAUCAAGCAGUGUUAACAGAGCUCUAAAUGAAAAGGAACCAUUGACUGGUUCACAAAUCAGUCGGUUCCCAUAAUUGAGUUGCUUUGAACGCGUUCUCAAUGACACUAAAAAUGUUUUUUACUUAUAAUUUACAGGUAGAUGAGCUUAUAACAUGACCUGAUACUUACUCUUUUUUUCUUCUGUUUCCUUUUGCCAUUUGUUUUCUGUAUUUAGAACAAGAAGGCAGCUACUCUGUCACCACCAGUUUACUCUCUGGCAUGUUUUCAAUUUUCAUUAAAAACUGAAGAAAUAUAUUUGAAUAUUAUUGUUAAACCAUUUUGGAAAGUGCUAUAAUAAAUGAGUAAUUCUUCUGGGAAAAUCUAGCUUUUAUUCACAUUGCUAUGUCAAAGCAAAGGGGCCAGAAACUGCAGUUGUGUAUGUAACUGUCUUCUUCAUGUAUGUGAAAAUCAAUUUCUUCAGUACUAGUAGAUGAUAAAAAAUAUAAAGCUAUAUUUAAUUUUACAUUGACUUUUCUAGCUUAAGGAAGCACUAACAGAGGUAUAUAAAUUCUCAAGGCUACUCUGUACCAAGUUGACCAAUAAAUACAUGUUAGCAU